Molecule: non-coding RNA, 265 nt
Organism: Ruminococcaceae bacterium D16
Lineage: Bacteria; Bacillati; Bacillota; Clostridia; Eubacteriales; Oscillospiraceae
Rfam family: Bacterial large signal recognition particle RNA
About the family: The signal recognition particle (SRP) is a universally conserved ribonucleoprotein involved in the co-translational targeting of proteins to membranes. Archaeal SRP consists of a 7S RNA and homologues of the eukaryotic SRP19 and SRP54 proteins. In most bacteria, the SRP consists of a 4.5S RNA and the Ffh protein (a homologue of the eukaryotic SRP54 protein).
Source: Rfam
CCGCACUAGUUGGGGAGAUAGCGGUGCCCUGUACCUGCAACCCGCUACAGCAGGGAUGAAUCCCGGCCCCCGGACGUGCGAUGUGUCGUCUGACCUGGAAAAGCAGUGAUGAUAGACCGGUCCCGCGCAACGUGGCCCCGUGAACCGUGUCAGGCGGGGAACCGAGCAGCACUAAGCGGCAAGCCGCGUGUGCCGUGGGGUUACUGUUCUUGAGCCGGCUGUCCAGGUAACGGGCAUACCGCGCGCUUCAAAGGCCGGUGUGCGG